CCCGUGGGAGCCUCCCCAACCCCUCAGUCCCAGCAGCAAACUGCGCUUGGUCGGACGGAUGCCCGUGCGAGGGAAGCUGAGAGAAAGUAUGUCUUUGGAGCCUGGAAACCUGGAGGUCAUUUCUGAGCAUGAAAUCUUUCAGGUCUUAAAACCCUGCUCUCAGCACCUUGGUAGAGAAGGUUCCAGAGAAGAGACUAAAUGGGCUCUUCAGUUCCGGAGCCUCAGUGGCACCAUCCAUACUUGGAAAAGGAAUCACGUUGAUCACCAGAGAAGGAAUUUCAUCAAAACCAGGCUGCCUGCAGGGGAGGCUAUGGGUGAAGAGGCUCCAGGAUUGCAUUUCACAGAGGCAUGACUGUCCUGGAGGGAGGAUGUGGCCACUGGUGUGUGGGGCAACGAGACUGCCCGGUUCUCUAGAAGAUCGGCCAUGCAGCCGUGCAGGGCAGAAAGCCCUGUGGUUAGUUAGACCUUGGCCAGCAAUCUCCCACUUACCUCUUCCCAUAACCCGCUGCAGACUUGAAUUUGUUUUUAAUUCUCCAGACUUGGGAGUAAAAGAUCUAGUUCAGAGGCCUUGGCCUUGUGCCCUCCCUCACCCCACCACAUCCCUGAUUACCAAGGUGCGGACCUUGUGUGACUCACAGAGGCCUUUGGAGUUUUCUUCACUUUAGAAGGCAGCAAAUGGUUUUUAAUGGUGAGGUAUUUGCGGAAGGAUGCUAAGGCUCAAUCCCCAAGAUGCCUAGCUCCACGGGACUUGGAAGGCUUGACCAGUCUGGUUCUGAUUACAGAACUGCGCUCACGUAGCUGGUUGAGAGCUGUUCUUUUAGUGGUGCUGAAAGUCAGGCCAGCACUGGCUGCCUGGUAGGUCGGUUGUCUACAGGCUCAGCCACCACCCUCCUUCCAGCUUAGAGACACAGGCUAAAUAAUUCGCUAUUGCUGGGAACAAAUCUCAGCAGCCACCAGCUUCCAGUUGCGCCCUCCACCGUUUCUCCACUCAGCACCUAUAGUGGUCCUUUCUCCCUCUCUACUGAUUUUAAUUAAAAAAAUAUUUUUAUUUUUAUUUUU
Molecule: long non-coding RNA, 1059 nt
Filed under: Cricetulus griseus (Chinese hamster)
Lineage: Eukaryota; Metazoa; Chordata; Mammalia; Rodentia; Cricetidae
Description: lncRNA (ENSCGRG00015036005.1)
Source: RNAcentral